AUUGGGUAAUUAUUUAUCCUUGUGGACAAUAUUCAGAUUACUGACGCAUUCACACUUUUUCUUAUA
This 66-nucleotide small RNA is filed under the name Arabidopsis thaliana (thale cress). RNAcentral's name for it is "ATSL007710". The record is from RNAcentral. Lineage: Eukaryota; Viridiplantae; Streptophyta; Magnoliopsida; Brassicales; Brassicaceae.